GGUCUGCAAGCUGCCUUGUUGGUGUGCAGUGAUUGGAACAUACAGUCAUCGCUAAGGGUGUCAUCUUCUGCCCUUAGGCAGACUGGGCAGGGGCUAGAAGUGGGUUUCUGUUGCACCAGACUGGCGGGGGCUGAGUUCAGACUUGAGGCAAAUAAGCGAUCAGGAGCCAGACAGGUGAGGCUCGGAGUGUUCAGCCCACCUUGCAGCUAACAUUCAUUCAGUCUGCUUCGCAACUAAUAAGAGUCAUUAUCUCACUGAAAUGUGGGAUAUGGUGCCUCUGUUUCUUCCCUGUGGACCCUUGUUGGUUCUCUGUGUCUUGGUUGUACUUGAGAUACAGGAGGUUGAGACUACUGACAUACUUGGUCAACAAGGCACCCUAAAGCAGAGGCCAUCAAACAAGGGGCAUGUAGGAACAGACAGCCUUCAGAAAUCCUGUUUCUAGAACUCGAACUUUCUCUAUGGUACUGGGAGUAGAACCCUAGUACCUCACCCAUGCUAGACCGGUGUUUCAGGUCCCCAGCCCUAGAGCUUGGACUUUCAUACAUACUCUUUUCUGAAAUUGUUAUGACUCAGAAAAUUGUUCACAGUAGCACCCUCCCACUUGACAAAAGAAAAAGUACUUUUUUCUACUCAAAAUCUCACUAUUGGGUUUGUCAUGGGUAUAACAAUCUCCAAAGGGCCAGAUAGAGAGACAAAGACACCGUAUUGAUGGGGGAAAGUGAAUGAUUCCAUGUAGUUGGUGAUAUGCUUUUGUAAUCAAGUAUUCCAGUUCUUUGUUCCUAACAAAAUGGAAGGAGGGCCAUGUGGAAUUUUCAGCAGAUAGAUAAAAAAUAACUUAGAAUACUGGAUUUUGGACAUAUAAAUUGGAAAAUUAGCGAAUCGAGUGACAUUACUACAAGAACUCUUUCCAAUCCCACUUACUAAAUUAUUUGAUCAAUAUUUCUUACACAGCUAUAGAAAUGGAAGGAAAAAGUAGUCAAAAGUAUGUAUUCUAUGGACACAGAACCUAUUGUUUCCUAAUUUUCCUUUAUUAUAAGAAUGGCAUUUCCAAUAAAAAUGUUCUAAG
This 1066-nucleotide long non-coding RNA is filed under the name Marmota monax (woodchuck). The record is from RNAcentral. Lineage: Eukaryota; Metazoa; Chordata; Mammalia; Rodentia; Sciuridae.